This 200-nucleotide ribosomal RNA is filed under the name uncultured bacterium. RNAcentral's name for it is "partial 16S ribosomal RNA". It matches the Rfam family "Bacterial small subunit ribosomal RNA", at positions 28 to 229 of the family's 1533-position model. The record is from RNAcentral.
GAUGAACGCUAGCGGCAGGCUUAACACAUGCAAGUCGAGGGGUAGAAGGAGCUUGCUCCUUUGAGACCGGCGCACGGGUGCGUAACGCGUAUGCAACCUACCUUUUACAGAGGGAUAGCCCAGAGAAAUUUGGAUUAAUACCCCAUGGUAUAAUUGAAUGGCAUCAUUUAAUUAUUAAAGUUCCAACGGUAAAAGAUGGG